Molecule: ribosomal RNA, 942 nt
Filed under: uncultured bacterium
Lineage: Bacteria
Description: bacterial SSU rRNA
Rfam family: Bacterial small subunit ribosomal RNA
Source: RNAcentral
AGAGUUUGAUCAUGGCUCAGAAUCAACGCUGGCGGCGCGCCUAACACAUGCAAGUCGCACGAGAAAGUGGAGCAAUCCAUGAGUAAAGUGGCGUACGGGUGAGUAACACGUGGAUCAUCUACCUCUUAGUGGGGAAUAACCCUGGGAAACCGGGGCUAAUACCGCAUAAUCUCGGGAGAGGAAAGCAGCAAUGCGCUGAGAGAGGAGUCCGCGGCCGAUUAGCUAGUUGGUAGGGUAAAAGCCUACCAAGGCAAAGAUCGGUAGCCGGCCUGAGAGGGCACACGGCCACACUGGCACUGAAACACGGGCCAGACUCCUACGGGAGGCAGCAGUGGGGAAUCUUGCACAAUGGGGGAAACCCUGAUGCAGCGACGCCGCGUGAGCGAUGAAGCCCUUCGGGGUGUAAAGCUCUUUCGGCAGGGAAGAUUAUGACGGUACCUGCAGAAGCAGCUGCGGCUAACUACGUGCCAGCAGCCGCGGUAAUACGUAGGCAGCAAGCGUUGUUCGGAGUUACUGGGCGUAAAGGGUGUGUAGGCGGUUGCUUAAGUUUGGUGUGAAAUCUCCCGGCUCAACUGGGAGGGUGCGCCGAAUACUGAGUGACUCGAGUGCGGGAGAGGAAAGUGGAAUUCCUGGUGUAGCGGUGAAAUGCGUAGAUAUCAGGAGGAACACCGGUGGUGUAGACGGCUUUCUGGACCGUAACUGACGCUGAGACACGAAAGCGUGGGUAGCAAACAGGAUUAGAUACCCUGGUAGUCCACGCCCUAAACGAUGCAUAUUUGGUGUGAGUCAUUCAGUUGAUUCGUGCCGGAGCUAACGCGUUAAAUAUGCCGCCUGGGGAGUACAGUCGCAAGGCUGAAACUCAAAGGAUUGACGGGGCCCGCACAAGCGUGGAGCAUGUGGUUCAAUUCGACGCACGCGAAGAACCUUACCUGGGCUCGAACG